ACCUGGCUGGCUCACUGGGUGGAGCUUGUGACUCUUGAUCUCAAGGUUGUGAGUUCAAGCUCCAUGUUGGGUG
This 73-nucleotide transfer RNA is filed under the name Ailuropoda melanoleuca (giant panda). It matches the Rfam family "tRNA". From Rfam's summary of the family: Transfer RNA (tRNA) molecules are approximately 80 nucleotides in length. Their secondary structure includes four short double-helical elements and three loops (D, anti-codon, and T loops). Lineage: Eukaryota; Metazoa; Chordata; Mammalia; Carnivora; Ursidae. The record is from Rfam by way of RNAcentral.